UACUCCAUAAUAUAUUAAAUUGGCAUCAAAUUGAUAUUGAAAACUCCGGUGGAUAAAGGAUGGGCACGCGCAAGAUUAGAUAGUUGGUGAGGUAACGGCUCACCAAGUCGAUGAUCUUUAGGGGGCCUGAGAGGGUGAUCCCCCACACUGGUACUGAGACACGGACCAGACUCCUACGGGAGGCAGCAGUGAGGAAUAUUGGACAAUGGGUUAGCGCCUGAUCCAGCCAUCCCGCGUGAAGGAUUAAGGACCUAUGGUUUGUAAACUUCUUUUGUACAGGGAUAAACCUACCCUCGUGAGGGUAGCUGAAGGUACUGUACGAAUAAGCACCGGCUAACUCCGUG
RNAcentral lists this ribosomal RNA (344 nucleotides) under uncultured bacterium. RNAcentral describes it as "bacterial SSU rRNA". It matches the Rfam family "Bacterial small subunit ribosomal RNA", at positions 167 to 507 of the family's 1533-position model. The record is from RNAcentral.